Molecule: ribosomal RNA, 503 nt
Filed under: uncultured bacterium
Lineage: Bacteria
Description: partial 16S ribosomal RNA
Rfam family: Bacterial small subunit ribosomal RNA
Source: RNAcentral
AUUGAACGCUGGCGGCAGGCUUAACACAUGCAAGUCGAGCGGGGUGAUGGUGCUUGCACUAUCACUUAGCGGCGGACGGGUGAGUAAUGCUUAGGAAUCUGCCUAUUAGUGGGGGACAACAUCUCGAAAGGGAUGCUAAUACCGCAUACGUCCUACGGGAGAAAGCAGGGGAUCACUUGUGACCUUGCGCUAAUAGAUGAGCCUAAGUCGGAUUAGCUAGUUGGUGGGGUAAAGGCCUACCAAGGCGACGAUCUGUAGCGGGUCUGAGAGGAUGAGCCGCCACACUGGGACUGAGACACGGCCCAGACUCAUCCGGGAGGCAGCAGUGGGGAAUAUUGGACAAUGGGGGGAACCCUGAUCCAGCCAUGCCGCGUGUGUGAAGAAGGCCUUAUGGUUGUAAAGCACUUUAAGCGAGGAGGAGGCUCUUUUGGUUAAUACCCAAGAUGAGUGGACGUUACUCGCAGAAUAAGCACCGGCUAACUCUGUGCCAGCAGCCGCCGUAA